RNAcentral lists this non-coding RNA (30 nucleotides) under Mus musculus (house mouse). Lineage: Eukaryota; Metazoa; Chordata; Mammalia; Rodentia; Muridae. The record is from RNAcentral.
UGAACAUGAGCACAGUACUGAAUGCAGUGA